UACAGUAGGAGGUCAUUACAGUUGAAAGUCAUUACAGUUGGAGGUCAUUACAGUGGGAGGUCAUUACAGUAGGAGGUCAUUACAGUUGAAAGUCAUUACAGUUGGAGGUCAUUACAGUUGGAGGUCAUUACAGUUGGAGGUCAUUACAGUUGGAGGUCAUUACAGUGGGAGGUCAUUACAGUUGGAGGUCAUUACAGUGGGAGGUCAUUACAGUUGGAGGUCAUUACAGUGGGAGGUCAUUACAGUAGGAGGUCAUUACAGUUGGAGGUCAUUACAGUGGGAGGUCAUUACAGUUGGAGGUCAUUACAGUGGGAGGUCAUUACAGUUGGAGGUCAUUACAGUUGGAGGUCAUUACAGUUGGAGGUCUAUACAGUUGGAGGUCAUUACAGUGGGAGGUCAUUACAGUUGAAGUUCUAUACAGUUGGAGGUCAUUACAGUUGGAGGUCUAUACAGUUGGAGGUCAUUACAGUUGGAGGUCAUUACAGUUGGAGGUCUAUACAGUUGGAGGUCAUUACAGUUGGAGGUCAUUACAGUUGGAGGUCAUUACAGUUGGAGGUCUAUACAGUGGAGGUCAUUACAGUUGGAGUACUAUACAGUGGGAGGUCAUUACAGUUGGAGGUCAUUACAGUUGGAGGUCAUUACAGUUGGAGGUCAUUACAGUUGGAGGUCAUUACAGUGGGAGGUCAUUACAGUGGGAGGUCAUUACAGUGGGAGGUCAUUACAGUUGGAGGUCAUUACAGUGGGAGGUCAUUACAGUUGGAGGUCAUUACAGUUGGAGGUCAUUACAGUUGGAGGUCAUUACAGUUGGAGGUCAUUACAGUGGGAGGUCAUUACAGUGGGAGGUCAUUACAGUGGGAGGUCAUUACAGUUGAGAGGUCAUUACAGUUGGAGGUCAUUACAGUGGGAGGUCAUUACAGUGGGAGGUCAUUACAGUUGGAGGUCAUUACAGUGGGAGGUCAUUACAGUUGGAGGUCAUUACAGUGGAGUGCAGCAGAAUGAGCAGACCUUGUUGUGUCCCAAAUGGUGCUCUCUGGCCUUAUUAGUGCACUACUUUGACCAGGGCCCAUAAGGUUCUGCUCAAAACUAGUGCUCUGCAAAAGGGGGAAAGAGGGCCAUUUGGGAUUCACAUUCUAUGUCUCAGACAGACAUGUUCUCAGGGUGGGAAUGUGGUCCCACUGUAGCCUGGUUAAACCCACACUGACUGCUCGGUUCACCAUCCAGCCUGCUGAAACCAGGAACCUAGGUAGUCCCAACAGAACUAAUGAGAUCACCUCGUCCAGACAUGACAGGCCACUCGAGUUUGUCAUCUGUAACAACUAUAGGCCAAUUUAAUGUUAGCGAUGUAGCAUUUCUCAAUGUGUCCAUUCAUCCGUAAUGCUUCGUCAUCAUCGUCAUCAACAGGGUCUGUACAAAACAGGCUCUGUUAUACACUGGAGAAUAUGACACGCCCCCCCUCUGACCUAGCAGUGAUGUCAUCCAUAAUUCUACUGCUGCAGUGGAGAGGGAAG
Molecule: long non-coding RNA, 1508 nt
Organism: Oncorhynchus keta (chum salmon)
Lineage: Eukaryota; Metazoa; Chordata; Actinopteri; Salmoniformes; Salmonidae
Exons: 4
Source: RefSeq, a predicted model, not a curated record